UCCAGACUCCUACGGGAGGCAGCAGUCGGGAAUAUUGCGCAAUGGAGGAAACUCUGACGCAGUGACGCCGCGUAUAGGAAGAAGGUUUUCGGAUUGUAAACUAUUGUCGUUAGGGAAGAUAAAAGACUGUACCUAAGGAGGAAGCCCCGGCUAACUAUGUGCCAGCAGCCGCGGUAAUACAUAGGGGGCAAGCGUUAUCCGGAAUUAUUGGGUGUAAAGGGUGCGUAGACGGAGAAACAAGUUGGUUGUGAAAUCCCUCGGCUCAACCGAGGAACUGCAACCAAAACUAUUUCCCUUGAGUGUCGGAGAGGAAAGUGGAAUUCCUAGUGUAGCGGUGAAAUGCGUAGAUAUUAGGAGGAACACCGGCGGCGAAGGCGGCCUGCUGGACCGCGACUGACGUUGAGGCUCGAAAGCGUGGGGAGCGAACAGGAUUAGAUACCCGUGUA
This 446-nucleotide ribosomal RNA is filed under the name uncultured bacterium. RNAcentral describes it as "bacterial SSU rRNA". It matches the Rfam family "Bacterial small subunit ribosomal RNA", at positions 330 to 792 of the family's 1533-position model. The record is from RNAcentral.